Molecule: long non-coding RNA, 3348 nt
Organism: Chinchilla lanigera (long-tailed chinchilla)
Lineage: Eukaryota; Metazoa; Chordata; Mammalia; Rodentia; Chinchillidae
Exons: 2
Source: RefSeq, a predicted model, not a curated record
AUUUCAUAUUUUCAGACCAUGUUUUGCCAUGGGUCUCUGAAACUGUGGAAAGUAAAAUCACAAAGAAGAGGCACUGCUUAGUUUGCAAUGAUCAGACAUAGAAAUGAAGGUGUGAAGUCCCACCAUCUUAGAAUACAGAUUAAAAAAGCCCUUACCUGGGAGUUUGGAAAGAAGGCCCCUGCUUCACUAAAGAGCUUGUGCCAGGAUGCAGAAAGAUGGUUUUCACAAAAAUAUGUUUACUGUUCACUUACACACGUAACAAUAUAAACAAAGAAAUCCAUAUGAUUCUAAAAAUAAAGGAUAGUAAGAUUCUGAAUACAGUUGAAGCACUGUUAGCUAUUUGUAAUAAUAAUAAGCUCCCUACUUUUCUCAUAUCUAAAAUGUUUACUGAAAAAAUAAGGGAAAAUAUUGCCAGGAGGAAAAAGGCAGCGUGACUGCCGAAGUCAGUGGGCAGCAGGGCACAAGGAGUCUCAGAGGCAAAAGCUCACUGGCCUGUGCCUUCUUUUUGUUCUGGUUCUUGGCCCCUUUGAUCUGGGAUCUUUGAUAGCAACUACCUGAAGUCAUGGUUUCUUCAGGACUGGUGUUCUCUGCUGUACUUCCCUUGCUUUCUCUCAUCCUGCUAUGUUCUGAAUCUUUGAACCACUGUUUCUCCUAUUCACAUGUUGACAUCCCAACCCACAGGGUGAUGGUAUGAGGAGGGGAGUCCUUUGAGAAGUUAUUAGGUCAGGAGAGUGGAACUCUGAGUAAUGGGAUCAGUGUCCUUAUCAAAGAGGCUCCAGACAGUCCUCAUCGUUCCGCCACUGAGGACACAGUGACAGUCGGCAGUUUGCAGCCCAGAAUGAGGCUCCUGCCUGACCAUGCAGCUCCCUAAUCUUGGCCUUCCAGCCUACAGAACCAUGGGAAAUUCAGCCACUCAGUUUAUAUUUUAGUACAGCAGCCUGAAUGGACUAAGACAUAGCCUACUUUAUUCACAAGGUUGAGCACCAUUUUAGGAAAUACAUUCAAAAUCUGUCAUACUAAUACUAGAGGGCUCAAUGUCAGAGAUGAUGCUUAUUAGAGAAAUCGUGUUUUUCAACUGAAACACACACACACAUACGUGUGUGUGUGUGUGUGUGUGUGUGGUAGUGAAACUGAAACCAAAUCACCAUUAAGACUGAUCAAUUAAAAAAUAUGGUAAAAUGACAGAAUUUUUUUGUUUCCUAUGCUAGAACUUUUCAGGUAAAUUUAUCAAAUACAGUCAACUAGGGAAAAAAUUCACAAUCAAUUUGGUAUGGGACAUUUAGAAAACAAUGAAAAAUCCUCAUGUUUGGUUUUAAUUUAAGGUACCAUAUGCAAAAGCUGUUUUGCAAAUACAUUAUUGAUUUUAAUCUAAGUUAUACCAUAUAGAAUGUGAACAUUUGUGCAAAACAUUAUAAUCUAUAAUUCUGACUUUUAGCUUAGUUGCGUGACUUACUUACAUAAUUCUACAAAAUGAAUCUGGAAGGCUUGAGUUUAUAGGGAAAAAAAUGCCCUAAUUUUAGUGACUCCAGUCUAAAGUUACAGAAAUGUCAAAUUACUUAUUGAAAAGUCUGAAGUGAAGUAAAAGAAAAAUGCCCUGGGAAGUUUCUGUUGUUAGUAUGCUUCCCUCAUCAUACAGAUGUAAAAUCUACCGGAAUUCUAAGACCAGUCAGAGGUUUUCUAUAAUCUCAUUAGAGGGCUCUUACAGGGUUGAGUGAUCUUUUGCUUUGUUUUGUUUGUAAAGAGGUGUAGAAACUGAUUUUGUAUAAAAGUCUGAGAGCUGGUUUAAGAGAUUAAGUGACUCUCCCUGAUGUUCUCACAUCCUCCUAUGUAGAAUGGCCCAAACAGGGACAGUCUCUGCUUUAUUACUGGGUGAAAAGGAGGAGGACUUCCCAGAGUCACACUGGUCCUGACUGCUGGGUAAAGUCAGAGCACAGCUUCAUUUUAUCCACAUUCUCAGAGGUCAGCUAUCAACACAAAUAUACCACUCAGUAAUGUGGAAAACUCUAGAGCAGCAGCUGACAUCAGCAUCAACUACCAUGUUUAAAUAACAACACCAGUGUGCUUUGUGGGUGUGCAUAUGGAGGAAAAAAAGGGUGCGCCUGGGGACUAAAUCUAGUGUGUCAGGAUCCUGCCAAUGGCCAAUUUACAAGAUAAAUACCUCUUCCUACCAUCUUUUCUGCAUCUACUAAGUGCAUCUUCAUCUCCGUUUGUAGCUCACCCCUCAAUUAAACUCCUACCUCCCCAUUUAAAGUUAUACCCUUUGAGCAUCUCUCUAUCCUACAGCAAAUGUCUGAAAAAAAACUACCUACAAGAAAUGACGAUGGGAUGGCAAUUUUCUCCAUUACCUAGUUUUUCCAACCUGUUACAAAAUACAGCUAAUAAAGCUGAAAGUGAACAUCAUUCCUUGUAGAUGUUAGAGACGUGUGGUCACCCUAUACCAAAUUCAAGGGAUGAGUUUUGACAAUGCUACAAAUGCUCUUCAGUAAAUCACUUGAAAAACGGCACUUCUUAAAGGUCCAUAUUUCAUUAUCUUGGCAAAACUUUGUUUCAAGGUCAUUUCCAACUGCUCUUCUUGGGCAGAGCAGUGUGCGUGGAACAGCACCAGCAUGGCACCAGGUCAAUCUUUUAGUCAUCGCAGGAGCGAGCUUUCUGUAGAGAGGCAGCUUGCUUCAAAGUCAGAUGGGCUUUUGAAAAGCAUGCCAAAAAAAAGUUUCAGAUUUGAAAUGUUAUAGGAAAGAAGGUCAUCACAUUUUUUAAUUGCCUGCUAUCCUUGCAGAAGGUUGCUUUUCAUAUUUUUAGGCAAAUAUUACAGAUCUACCCAGUGUGAAAAACAGUUUAAAAAUGUGGUGAGUGAGUUUGGGCAUAUGUCUUCAAUUGAACAUAGUGCCGAGUGCCAAACGUCAACCAAGCUGAUCGCACUGUAGGUCUGUGUGAAAGCCUAACGUGGUGGAAUCUAGUUGCUAUAGCUGCAAAUCAAACAAAUAAAUGAGACACCCUGGAAUGCAGCAAAAUAUCUGUGGUCUGAUUAGUUCACAUUUGCCAUAUGUGUGAAGAUUAGCAGUUGAAUUCUGAGUUUAAACAAAGGUCUUUCCAAUAGGUGCAACUGAUGGGAAAUGCUUAAAAAUACAUAAGGGAGAUGUGAGUUCCUUGUCCAAAGGGGAAAGCUGUACACCCUGGAUGUAGCCCUGCUUGCUCUGCUGGCCUCUGUGCACAGCGAACAUCACAUUGCGAUGUGGCCCUGAUCCUCUCACCUUCCGUUUCUGGGAGAUCCCGAGAGUCUGGUCCUUCUGGCUUACUUCCCUCAACCAUAUCCUCAAAUUCAGAAAUGCACAGUGAAGCAUGAAGCCC